This 1563-nucleotide long non-coding RNA is filed under the name Salmo trutta (river trout). Its description in RNAcentral is "lncRNA (ENSSTUG00000002496.1)". Lineage: Eukaryota; Metazoa; Chordata; Actinopteri; Salmoniformes; Salmonidae. The record is from RNAcentral.
CUCCUCAGUGUCCCUGUAAAUAAUAACUGGACACACACACACACACAGGACACACACACACACACACACACACACUGGACAAACACACACACACUGGACAAACAAACACACACACACACUGGACAAACACACACACACACACACACACACACUACACAAACACAGACACACACACUGGACAAACACACACUGGACACACACACACUGGACACACACACACUGGACACACACACACUCACUGGACAAACACACACACACAGACACACACACACACACUGGACAAACACACACACACACACACAGGACACACACACACACACACAGGACACACACACACAGGACAAACACACACACACACACACACACUGGACAAACACACACACACACACACACUGGACAACACACACACACACACACACUGGACAAACACACACACACACACUGGACAAACACACACACACACACACUGGACAAACACACACACACACACACACACACACACUGGACAAACACACACACACACACACUGGACAAACACACACACACACACACACACACACUGGACAAACACACACACACACACACUGGACAAACACACACACACACACACACACACUGGACAAACACACACACACACACACACACUGGACAAACACACACACACACACACUGGACAAACACACACACACACACACACACACUGGACAAACACACACACACACACACAACACACACUGGACAAACACACACACACACACACACACACACUGGACAAAGACACACACACACACACACACUGGACAAACACACACACACACACACACACACACACACACACACACACACACACACUGGACACACACACACUGGACUCACACACAAACACACACACACACUGGACUCACACACACACACACAAACACACACACACACUGGACAAACACACACACACUGGACAAACAAACACACACACACACUACACAAACACACACACACACACACUGGACAAACACACACUGGACAAACACACACUGGACAAACACACACUGGACACACACACACUGGACACACACACACUGGACACACACACACACACUCACUGGACAAACACACACACACACUGGACAAACAGGACACACACACACACACACACAAACACACACUGGACACACACACACACUGGACACACACACACACACACUGGACAAACACACACACACACACACACACUGGACAAACACACACACACACACACUGGACACACACACACACACACACUGGACAAAUACACACACACACACACACACUGGACAAACACACACACACACACACUGGACACACACACACACACACUGGACAAAUACACACACACACACACACACUGUACAAACACACACACACACACCCUGGACAAACACACACACACACGCGCGUCUUCCUAUAAUUGUGGACCUUGACCCAGGACCUCUUACAAUAACACCGUUAAAAUACCAAUGUGAUCAUUUGUUGUCUUUUAUGUUGAAUAACAAAUUGUAUAAUUAUAUGUGGACAUACGCUCCAUAG